CCAGGUUUGGUUUAUUAGUUCUUCAUCUUCGGGGUCAAAUAUUUUUUCCCAUAUUAUUCUCCUUAAUUCUAUAAUUUCUAUAUCUUUAAGAAUAUAUAAAAUCAGUGUUUCAUAAGCUAAUAUCAUUUCAUCAUGUAAAGAGGUAGUCAUAUUGAUAUUUUGCUGUUUAAUCAAUAAUUCCCUUAUACCAUAUGCAUAAUAAAUAUUAUUCAUAUUAGAUUACUAUAAACUAGAUUAUUUUCAACCAUGUUUCCUUG
Molecule: long non-coding RNA, 257 nt
Filed under: Solanum tuberosum (potato)
Lineage: Eukaryota; Viridiplantae; Streptophyta; Magnoliopsida; Solanales; Solanaceae
Description: long non-coding RNA (STUB_LNC007956)
Source: RNAcentral